This 339-nucleotide ribosomal RNA is filed under the name uncultured Fusibacter sp. RNAcentral describes it as "bacterial SSU rRNA". It matches the Rfam family "Bacterial small subunit ribosomal RNA", at positions 1044 to 1382 of the family's 1533-position model. Lineage: Bacteria; Bacillati; Bacillota; Clostridia; Eubacteriales; Fusibacteraceae. The record is from RNAcentral.
CAUGGUUGUCGUCAGCUCGUGUCGUGAGAUGUUGGGUUAAGUCCCGCAACGAGCGCAACCCUUGUGUUAGUUGCAAACAGGUCAAGCUGUGCACUCUAGACAAACUGCCGUGGACAACACGGAGGAAGGUGGGGAUGACGUCAAAUCAUCAUGCCCCUUAUGAUCUGGGCUACACACGUGCUACAAUGGCCGGUACAACGGGCAGCGAAGGAGCGAUCCGGAAGCGAAUCCUAAAAAGCCGGUCCCAGUUCGGAUUGCAGGCUGAAACUCGCCUACAUGAAGUUGGAGUUGCUAGUAAUCGCGAAUCAGAAUGUCGCGGUGAAUGCGUUCCCGGGUCUU